RNAcentral lists this ribosomal RNA (102 nucleotides) under Caerostris darwini. Lineage: Eukaryota; Metazoa; Arthropoda; Arachnida; Araneae; Araneidae. The record is from RNAcentral.
UACCAUGCUGAAUAUACCGGUUCUCGUUAGAUCACCGAAGUUAAGCAUCAUUGGGCGCGGUCAGUACUUGGGUGGGUGACCACCUGGGAACACUGCGUGCCA